RNAcentral lists this ribosomal RNA (253 nucleotides) under uncultured bacterium. Its description in RNAcentral is "partial 16S ribosomal RNA". It matches the Rfam family "Bacterial small subunit ribosomal RNA", at positions 524 to 776 of the family's 1533-position model. The record is from RNAcentral.
UACAGAGGCCCCAAGCAUUACCCGGAAUCACUGGGCGUAAAGGGUGUCUAGGCGGCCAUAUUAGUCUUUUGUCAAAUCUAUGGGCUUAACCUGUAGCGCGCAAGGGAAACGGUAUGGCUCGAGGGCGCAAGAGGUGCACGGAACUCAUGGUGGAGGGGUGAAAUCCGUUGAUAUCAUGGGGAACACCAAAGGCGAAGGCAGUGCACUGGUACGUUCCUGACGCUCAAACACGAAAGCCAGGGUAGCGAACGGG